ACGAACGCUGGCGGCGUGCUUAACACAUGCCAGUCGAACGGAAAGGCCCUGCUUUUGUGGGGUGCUCGAGUGGCGAACGGGUGAGUAACACGUGAGUAACCUGCCCUUGACUUUGGGAUAACUUCGGGAAACUGGGGCUAAUACCGGAUAGGAGCUCCUGCUGCAUGGUGGGGGUUGGAAAGUUUCGGCGGUUGGGGAUGGACUCGCGGCUUAUCAGCUUGUUGGUGGGGUAGUGGCUUACCAAGGCUUUGACGGGUAGCCGGCCUGAGAGGGUGACCGGCCACAUUGGGACUGAGAUACGGCCCAGACUCCUACGGGAGGCAGCAGUGGGGAAUAUUGCACAAUGGGCGGAAGCCUGAUGCAGCAACGCCGCGUGCGGGAUGACGGCCUUCGGGUUGUAAACCGCUUUCGCCUGUGACGAAGCGUGAGUGACGGUAAUGGGUAAAGAAGCACCGGCUAACUACGUG
Molecule: ribosomal RNA, 467 nt
Filed under: uncultured bacterium
Lineage: Bacteria
Description: partial 16S ribosomal RNA
Rfam family: Bacterial small subunit ribosomal RNA
Source: RNAcentral